UAAAUAACUUAAGUAAAAGAGUGUUAUAUUGAAGAUAUAGAAGUGAUUAAUUUAAUCUUUAAAUAAGU
RNAcentral lists this transfer RNA (68 nucleotides) under Hydropsyche orris. Its description in RNAcentral is "tRNA-Phe". Lineage: Eukaryota; Metazoa; Arthropoda; Insecta; Trichoptera; Hydropsychidae. The record is from RNAcentral.